AACGAACGCUGGCGGCAGGCCUAACACAUGCAAGUCGAACGCGCGUAGCAAUACGCGAGUGGCGCACGGGUGAGUAACACGUGGGAACCAACCCAGAGGUUCGGAAUAACCGCGGGAAACUGCGGCUAAUACCGGAUAUCCCCCAAGGGGGAAAGAUUUAUCGCCUCUGGACGGGCCCGCGUCCGAUUAGCUAGUUGGUGAGGUAAUGGCUCACCAAGGCGACGAUCGGUAGCUGGUCUGAGAGGACGACCAGCCACACUGGAACUGAGACACGGUCCAGACUCCUACGGGAGGCAGCAGUGGGAAUAUUGGGCAAUGGAGGCAACUCUGACCCAGCCAUGCCGCGUGGGUGACGAAGGUCUUCGGAUUGUAAAGCUCUUUCGGUGGGAACGAACGGGUACGGUGAAUAGCCGUGCUCAAAUGACGGUACUCACAGAAGAAGCACCGGCUAACUACGUGCCAGCCGCCGCGGU
This 473-nucleotide ribosomal RNA is filed under the name uncultured bacterium. RNAcentral describes it as "bacterial SSU rRNA". It matches the Rfam family "Bacterial small subunit ribosomal RNA", at positions 29 to 521 of the family's 1533-position model. The record is from RNAcentral.